RNAcentral lists this long non-coding RNA (1789 nucleotides) under Vulpes vulpes (red fox). Its description in RNAcentral is "lncRNA (ENSVVUG00000009791.1)". Lineage: Eukaryota; Metazoa; Chordata; Mammalia; Carnivora; Canidae. The record is from RNAcentral.
CUCGGCGUCUCGCGGGGCCGCCUCCCCCGGACGCUCGCCUGGCUCCCCGUCUCGCUCUGCCCCAGGCCCGACAGGCCGGGACGCCGUCCGACCCCAGCCGAGGCCACCCACAGGCCGGGCGCCUCGGGCCUCCGUGGGUGCUUGGACUCUCCCGCAGCACCACUGCCGCCGGGAGAAAGGUCGUGGCGGCUCGCAGCCCCCCGCCCCCAGCCCCCCGCUGGCUCCUUGGUGAGGUGCUACUUGGCGGCGGCCGCGCUGGGGGGAUGUGGGGACGGCGGGCCGAGGCGGAGGGGGCCGGUUGUGGGGAGGGUGAGCCACCUGUCUCUCUCUGAGUCGGGGGUCACUUGCUGGAGCCCCCGGUGCCUUCUCUCGGCCGGCCGUCGGCCCGGCAACCGCCAGCGAUGGAGCUGCACGUGGGUGGUGGUCUUGGGCGGGGAUGAGAGCAGAGCGCCGGCCCCCGCCGGCCCCCGCCGCCCCCGCCCGGGCAGGCGGUGGUUGGAAAGCGGUUGUGGGCGUCUCCCGGUGGCCGGACCACCAGGCAGUGGAGGCCAGAGAGCAGGGAGAUAGAUGCAGGAGGCCAGUGGGGCUAACCCGCGGGCCGGGCAGGUGGGAGGCGGCGGAGGCACCCCGGGGACAGACGGGGUGCCCUUGGAGGCCCCGGGUCAGUCCAACUGCACGACCGCUACCCCGAAUCCUGGGGCAGAGGGGCAGGCGUGUUCCCCGACACAGCUUCCUCCACCCCGGCCCCCGGCCNCCGGCCCGGCCCCGGCCCCAGCCCCACGUGGCCGGCCCCCCAGCUGGAUGCCGCUCGGAAGGGGCUCCCCUUGGCGCCUUAGCGCCCCCCCCUAGGCAGGAGAGCCUGCAGCCCUGUCUCCGCCCGGGUGCGGGUCUCCUGGCGCCGCUGCUCCUGCAGGUGAACCGCAGCGCCCGGCCUCCUUCCUGCCAACGCUUGCACGGCCGCCCUCCAAGGCUUUGCUGUGUGUCCAGAGACUGUCUCCGUCGGAGGCGCAGAGGCCGGCCCGCGCUCUGCGUGAGCCUUCCGGGGCUCGCUGGCUGGAUUUGGACACCGUCCGGCCGGCGGUGGAGAGGAGCGCCUGUGGGCCUCCGGGUGCUUCCCGUCAGCACGGGCAGUUCCCUCAGCGCCCUCGCCUCUCCCUCUGGCUGUAUGGGUGGGGGUGGGGGUGCGGGGAGUCCGCGACGGUGGGGGAUAGCGCUGGACGAAGGUGUUCUCCCCCGCGCGUCGCCUCGCACGGGGGUCAGGGCACAGGCGCAAAGCGUCCCGGAAAGAGGGCAGGGCCAGGAGCGGCCCGAGCCGGGCAGUGGGAGAAGGAGUCCCGGGUGUGUGCGUGGAGUGAGGGCCCGGGAGGUGUGGCGCCCGCGGGCACUGGCCGAGAGUGGGGCUGGCCACUGAGGCAGGGCACCCUGCCCGGCGCCUCGCCUGCACCUGUGCACCUGUGCGGGCGGGCGAGCUGUGAGGUAGGGGAGGGGACACGCUGGGCGUGUGCCUGAGGAGCCUGUGGGAGACCGGGACUGCGGGCAUUGAGUGUAGGACGUGGGUGUGGGGUCCAAGGGGUCGGUGGUAGAUGGAGGGUUUGAGCCUGGAGGCUGGAAGGAGCAGCACGUGGCACGUGGGGGUGGGUGUCGAUGGGGAGUCGUCCCGGUGCCAGAGGGCUGGGAGACCCCGUGGUGGCGGUGGACGGCGGGCGGGAGAGGUGCCGGGAGGCCGCUGGGCUGCGCUGGGCUGCACUGGGCUGCACUGGGCUGCACUGGGCUGCGCUGCAGGGUGGCC